Molecule: transfer RNA, 72 nt
Filed under: Jakoba libera
Lineage: Eukaryota; Jakobea; Jakobida; Jakobidae
Description: tRNA-Ile
Rfam family: tRNA
About the family: Transfer RNA (tRNA) molecules are approximately 80 nucleotides in length. Their secondary structure includes four short double-helical elements and three loops (D, anti-codon, and T loops).
Source: RNAcentral
GGGCUUGUAACUCAGUGGUAGAGUGUUCCUUUGAUAAGGGAAAAGUCAGUAGUUCGAUCCUACUCAAGCCCA